AACGAACGCUGGCGGCAUGCCUAACACAUGCAAGUCGAACGAGACCUUCGGGUCUAGUGGCGCACGGUUGCGUACCGCGUGGGAAUCUGCCCUUGGGUACGGGAUAACAGAUGGAAACGACUGCUAAUACCGGAUGAUGACGUACGUCCAAAGAUUUAUCGGCCAAGGAUGGGCCCGCGUAGGAUUAACUAGUUGGUGAGGUAAAGGCUCACCAAGGCUACGAUCCUUAGCUGGUCUGAGAGGAUGACCAGCCACACUGGGACUGAGACACGGCCCAGACUCCUACGGGAGGCAGCAGGGGGGAAUAUUGGACGAUGGGCGAAAGACUGAUGUAGCCAGGCCGCGUGAGUGAUGAAGGCCUUAGGGAUGUAAAGCUCUUUUAACCGGGAUGAUAAUGACAGUACCGGGAGAAUAAGCUACGGCUAACUCCGUG
Molecule: ribosomal RNA, 433 nt
Filed under: uncultured bacterium
Lineage: Bacteria
Description: partial 16S ribosomal RNA
Rfam family: Bacterial small subunit ribosomal RNA
Source: RNAcentral